Molecule: transfer RNA, 63 nt
Filed under: Chonosia atrodorsalis
Lineage: Eukaryota; Metazoa; Arthropoda; Insecta; Hemiptera; Cicadidae
Description: tRNA-Phe
Source: RNAcentral
AUUUAAGUAGCUUAAAUUAGAGCAUAAUAUUGAAGAUAUUAAGGUAAUAUUUAUUCUUAAAUA